GAAAAAUUAAUUCCCUGUAUUCCUCUUCUGAGACAAGUGUCUUAAUGUAGCCAUAAACCGUUUAUAGUGUCUCUAUUGUUGAUGAGCGCUGAUCUCCGAUCGUAUUAAAUUCAUACCUAGCUAAUGGUAACAUGCUGAUUUUGGAGGGCCCUGUGCGUAUAUAGUGAUAUAUAAUAUGUUGCCAUGAGAGGAUUGCUUCAGGAGUCAUCAUCUGACCUGGG
Molecule: non-coding RNA, 221 nt
Organism: Pelobates cultripes (western spadefoot toad)
Lineage: Eukaryota; Metazoa; Chordata; Amphibia; Anura; Pelobatidae
Source: the annotation of a GenBank genome assembly